This is a long non-coding RNA of Daktulosphaira vitifoliae (grape phylloxera), 1174 nucleotides long. RefSeq lists it as uncharacterized. NCBI's taxonomy places the organism in Eukaryota, Metazoa, Arthropoda, Insecta, Hemiptera, Phylloxeridae. The record is from RefSeq and is a predicted model, not a curated record. The transcript is spliced from 4 exons.
CAAAAUCGGUCCAAUUGUAGCGGAGAAAUCGUGUAUAGUGUCACAAAAAAAAAAAAAAAAAAAGAAACUAAGACCAAUACCUUUUUAGCUACACAUCCAUUCUAAAAGUGAAACUACGACUCGGGUUGACUAGACCAUGGCUUGAUCUAAAAUUUCGGACCAUAACAAAAAAUGAGCACAUUAACUUAAGCAAGCAGGCGUAUUUAUAUGAAAAUUGCUGUAAAAAACGUCUAUCGAGAUUGAAGGACUUAAAAAAUACAUAAAUUUCGACAAAUUUGGGAGGAGGUAAAAUGUUUCUUUUUAUGUAAAAUUCUCAGUAUAAAAUUCUAUAGAAGCCAUUAAAGGGUAAUGUAUAUUUUUAAAAUAAAUCGUUCAAAAUAAAGUAUCGAGUAAUCUAAAAAAAUUAUCUCUAAAUAAUUAAUUGAAAUUAAAAUAAAAUUAUUUUAUAAAUAGUUUCGUUACUCUAACUGUUAGUUCGAGUUAAAUUACUGCACAACACUAAUUGACUUAAGAUUCAUUUAGGCGCAAAUAGGGUUUAUGUAUUAUAACUAAUUCAAUCAACAUAAUAAAUUCAACAUAUAAAUUGUUUUCACAGUUUACGUCAAUGAUGAUAAAUUUGCUGUUUAAUUACAAAAAAAAAUGAUGUAUAUAUAUUGAGUCCAAGAUUGUUGCAAUAUGCAUCAAAAGAAACAUAUUAAGUUGCGUGUAAUCUUAGUGGAUCAACUGAUUAAGAUUAAUUAAGAACAUAGAAUACUAUUAGCUUCUGAAAACAUCAAAUUAUAAUAUUUGUUAAAGAUAUUUUGUGAGGCUAAUGAACGGAACAUCCUAAGUUAUAUAAUUAUAUAUUAUAUAGGUUUUGUCAUAAUUUAGAUGAUACUAGUAUAUCAUAUAGACAAAUAUCAGCGUUGAGAAAAUUGUUGUCGAUUUAAAUGGAACUCUUUCUCCUUUUUUGAUAAAAAAAAUAUAUAAAAACCUGAUAUUAUUAUAACCACAAUAUUAGUUAUUUUAGCUUAAAAUUAAAGUAACAAGGGGCUCACUGAGCUUUUUUCUGUAGCUCGCCUAGCCUAUCAUAGACUGAUUGUUAAUAGUCAAUGUAAAAGUACAUUUUUAUUUAUAAAACUUAGAAACAAAGAAAAAAAUUUACAACACUAAAAUUUAAUUAAUAAACAGUUGC